This 632-nucleotide ribosomal RNA is filed under the name Trichoderma atroviride. Its description in RNAcentral is "eukaryotic LSU rRNA". The stretch from base 241 to 394 matches the Rfam family "5.8S ribosomal RNA". The record is from RNAcentral. Lineage: Eukaryota; Fungi; Ascomycota; Sordariomycetes; Hypocreales; Hypocreaceae.
UGGAAGUAAAAGUCGUAACAAGGUCUCCGUUGGUGAACCAGCGGAGGGAUCAUUACCGAGUUUACAACUCCCAAACCCAAUGUGAACCAUACCAAACUGUUGCCUCGGCGGGGUCACGCCCCGGGUGCGUCGCAGCCCCGGAACCAGGCGCCCGCCGGAGGGACCAACCAAACUCUUUUCUGUAGUCCCCUCGCGGACGUUAUUUCUUACAGCUCUGAGCAAAAAUUCAAAAUGAAUCAAAACUUUCAACAACGGAUCUCUUGGUUCUGGCAUCGAUGAAGAACGCAGCGAAAUGCGAUAAGUAAUGUGAAUUGCAGAAUUCAGUGAAUCAUCGAAUCUUUGAACGCACAUUGCGCCCGCCAGUAUUCUGGCGGGCAUGCCUGUCCGAGCGUCAUUUCAACCCUCGAACCCCUCCGGGGGGUCGGCGUUGGGGACCUCGGGAGCCCCUAAGACGGGAUCCCGGCCCCGAAAUACAGUGGCGGUCUCGCCGCAGCCUCUCCUGCGCAGUAGUUUGCACAACUCGCACCGGGAGCGCGGCGCGUCCACGUCCGUAAAACACCCAACUUCUGAAAUGUUGACCUCGGAUCAGGUAGGAAUACCCGCUGAACUUAAGCAUAUCAAUAAGCGGAGGA